RNAcentral lists this microRNA precursor (84 nucleotides) under Bombyx mori (domestic silkworm). RNAcentral's name for it is "mir-2807 microRNA precursor family". It matches the Rfam family "mir-2807 microRNA precursor family". The record is from Rfam by way of RNAcentral. Lineage: Eukaryota; Metazoa; Arthropoda; Insecta; Lepidoptera; Bombycidae.
UUAACUCAAAUUUGUAUACAGUUGGUACAGCGCCCCUAGCGGCAAACGUAGGCAAACGUUCCAAUUUCAUACAAAUUUUAGUUA